RNAcentral lists this ribosomal RNA (481 nucleotides) under uncultured bacterium. Its description in RNAcentral is "partial 16S ribosomal RNA". It matches the Rfam family "Bacterial small subunit ribosomal RNA", at positions 28 to 507 of the family's 1533-position model. The record is from RNAcentral.
GAUGAACGCUGGCGGCGUGCUUAACACAUGCAAGUCGAACGAAGCACUUUAUUUGAUUUCCUUCGGGACUGAUUAUUUUGUGACUGAGUGGCGGACGGGUGAGUAACGCGUGGGUAACCUGCCUUGUACAGGGGGAUAACAGUUGGAAACGGCUGCUAAUACCGCAUAAGCGCACAGCAUCGCAUGAUGCAGUGUGAAAAACUCCGGUGGUAUAAGAUGGACCCGCGUUGGAUUAGCUAGUUGGUGAGGUAACGGCCCACCAAGGCGACGAUCCAUAGCCGACCUGAGAGGGUGACCGGCCACAUUGGGACUGAGACACGGCCCAAACUCCUACGGGAGGCAGCAGUGGGGAAUAUUGCACAAUGGGCGAAAGCCUGAUGCUGCGACGCCGCGUGAGCGAAGAAGUAUUUCGGUAUGUAAAGCUCUAUCAGCAGGGAAGAUAAUGACGGUACCUGACUAAGAAGCACCGGCUAAAUACGUG